Salvelinus namaycush (lake trout) is the source of this 196-nucleotide long non-coding RNA. RefSeq lists it as uncharacterized. The record is from RefSeq and is a predicted model, not a curated record. The transcript is spliced from 4 exons. Lineage: Eukaryota; Metazoa; Chordata; Actinopteri; Salmoniformes; Salmonidae.
GAGGUCAAAGCUCCACAGAAAGUGAUGUGGAAUCAAACAGUCAAGAAAGCAUUCUGGUGGGGCAAAUAUGGCAGGCAGCAGUGAGUGUGGCUUCUGGAGUGGGCGUGCUCCUGGUAGGAUUGACAGCUGUCUGUCUCUGCAGGAGGACCAAGAAAAACUAUUCUCAGAGACCUACAGCCAGACAGGAUGAUCACAG